Molecule: unclassified non-coding RNA, 179 nt
Filed under: Temora turbinata
Lineage: Eukaryota; Metazoa; Arthropoda; Copepoda; Calanoida; Temoridae
Description: partial ITS2
Source: RNAcentral
CUCUGUCCUUCCAAACUUCUCGCGGAGUUUGAGGGACCAAAGUGCAUCCCGCGGCUUUGGCUGGCGUUCAACUCUUGGGACUCAACUCCCGGGUUGGAGCCUAGCCUGCCCACCGGGUGGAGGCGUGUGGGGAGCUGACUGCUGACUCAUCCCCUUUCGUCGCCGACCGAUACCAACCU